RNAcentral lists this ribosomal RNA (462 nucleotides) under uncultured bacterium. RNAcentral describes it as "partial 16S ribosomal RNA". It matches the Rfam family "Bacterial small subunit ribosomal RNA", at positions 29 to 507 of the family's 1533-position model. The record is from RNAcentral.
ACGCACGCUGGCGGCGUGCUUAACACCUGCCAGUCGAACGGAAAGGCCUUUUCGGAGGUACUCGAGUGGCGAACGGGUGAGUAACACGUGGGUGAUCUGCCCUGCACUCUGGGAUAAGCCUGGGAAACUGGGUCUAAUACCGGAUAGGACCGCACUUUAGUGUGUGUGGUGGAAAGUUUUUUCGGUGUAGGAUGAGCCCGCGGCCUAUCAGCUUGUUGGUGGGGUAAUGGCCUACCAAGGCGGCGACGGGUAGCCGGACUGAGAGGUUGGUCGGCCACAUUGGGACUGAGAUACGGCCCAGACUCCUACGGGAGGCAGCAGUGGGGAAUAUUGCACAAUGGGCGCAAGCCUGAUGCAGCGACGCCGCGUGGGGGAUGACGGCCUUCGGGUUGUAAACUCCUUUCGCCAGGGACGAAGCGUUUUGUGACGGUACCUGGAGAAGAAGCACCGGCUAACUACGUG